Molecule: ribosomal RNA, 666 nt
Filed under: Qipengyuania citrea
Lineage: Bacteria; Pseudomonadati; Pseudomonadota; Alphaproteobacteria; Sphingomonadales; Erythrobacteraceae
Description: bacterial SSU rRNA
Rfam family: Bacterial small subunit ribosomal RNA
Source: RNAcentral
UCGAACGACCCUUCGGGGUUAGUGGCGCACGGGUGCGUAACGCGUGGGAACCUGCCUUUAGGUUCGGAAUAACAGUUAGAAAUGACUGCUAAUACCGGAUAAUGUCUUCGGACCAAAGAUUUAUUGCCUUUAGAUGGGCCCGCGUUGGAUUAGAUAGUUGGUGGGGUAAUGGCCUACCAAGUCGACGAUCCAUAGCUGGUCUGAGAGGAUGAUCAGCCACACUGGGACUGAGACACGGCCCAGACUCCUACGGGAGGCAGCAGUGGGGAAUAUUGGACAAUGGGCGAAAGCCUGAUCCAGCAAUGCCGCGUGAGUGAUGAAGGCCUUAGGGUUGUAAAGCUCUUUUACCAGGGAUGAUAAUGACAGUACCUGGAGAAUAAGCUCCGGCUAACUCCGUGCCAGCAGCCGCGGUAAUACGGAGGGAGCUAGCGUUGUUCGGAAUUACUGGGCGUAAAGCGCACGUAGGCGGCUUUUCAAGUCAGGGGUGAAAUCCCGGGGCUCAACCCCGGAACUGCCCUUGAAACUGGAUGGCUAGAAUACUGGAGAGGUGAGUGGAAUUCCGAGUGUAGAGGUGAAAUUGCGUAGAUAUUCGGGAAGAACACCAGUGGCGAAGGCGACUCACUGGACAGUUAUUGACGCUGAGGUGCGAAAGCGUGGGGAGCAAAC